AUGAGUUUUCACUUAAAGGGCGCUUAGAUCAUGCUUCUAGGCGUUGCCCAAGGAUGGGGCCGCGACCGAUCAGGUUGUUGGUGAGGUAAUGGCUCACCAAGCCUCUAACCGGUGCGGGCCGUGAGAGCGGGAGCCCGGAGAUGGGCACUGAGACAAGGGCCCAGGCCCUACGGGGCGCAGCAGUCGCGAAAACUUUGCAAUACACGAAAGUGUGACAGGGUCAUCCCGAGUGCCGUCCGCUGAGGAUGGCUUUUACUCAGUCUAGAACGCUGAGGGAAUAAGGAGAGGGCAAGUCUGGUGUCAGCCGCCGCGGUAAUACCAGCUCUCCGAGUGGUGUGGAUGUUUAUUGGGCCUAAAGCAUCCGUAGCUGGCUGGGCAAGUCCCCUGUUAAAUCCACCGAUUUAAUCGUUGGUGUGCGGGGGAAACUGCUCGGCUAGGGGACGAGAGAGGCAGACGGUAUUUCCGGGGUAGGGGUGAAAUCCUAUAAUCCCGGGAAGACCACCAGUGGCGAAGGCUGUCUGCUAGAACGCGCCCGACGGUGAGGGAUGAAAGCUGGGGGAGCGAACCGGAUUAGAUACCCGGGUAGUCCCAGCUGUAAACGAUGCAGGCUAGGUGUUUGGGCGGCCACGUGCCGCUCUAGUGCCGCAGGGAAGCCGUUA
Molecule: ribosomal RNA, 659 nt
Filed under: uncultured archaeon
Lineage: Archaea
Description: bacterial SSU rRNA
Rfam family: Archaeal small subunit ribosomal RNA
Source: RNAcentral